UACGUAGGGACCAAGCGUUGUCCGGAAUCAUUGGGCGUAAAGAGCGUGUAGGCGGCUUGUUAAGUCUUGCGUGAAAUCUCGGGGCUCAACCCCGAGCGGUCGUGAGAAACUGGCAGGCUAGAGUGCGGGAGAGGAGAGUGGAAUUCCUGGUGUAGCGGUGGAAUGCGCAGAUAUCAGGAGGAACACCGGUGGAAGGCGGGUCUCUGGGCAGUAACUGACGCUGAGGAGCGAAAGCGUGGGGAGCGAACAGG
This 251-nucleotide ribosomal RNA is filed under the name uncultured bacterium. RNAcentral describes it as "partial 16S ribosomal RNA". It matches the Rfam family "Bacterial small subunit ribosomal RNA", at positions 524 to 776 of the family's 1533-position model. The record is from RNAcentral.